GACCCAGUAGUGAAAUGAAAUCACGCCCGCACCUUGUAGGAUCGACGCGUUGACGUGUUUAACCAGGAGUCCCCUGUUCGAACCAGGGCUGGGUCA
Mycena metata is the source of this 96-nucleotide non-coding RNA. The record is from the annotation of a GenBank genome assembly. Lineage: Eukaryota; Fungi; Basidiomycota; Agaricomycetes; Agaricales; Mycenaceae.